RNAcentral lists this long non-coding RNA (1688 nucleotides) under Panax ginseng (ginseng). RNAcentral's name for it is "long non-coding RNA (PGIN_LNC001583)". Lineage: Eukaryota; Viridiplantae; Streptophyta; Magnoliopsida; Apiales; Araliaceae. The record is from RNAcentral.
UCGCUUUAUUCUACAAUUUUAUGAAAUUAUUUGUCAUUUUAUUACUAAUAAUAGUCUAGUGUUAUCUUAUACAACCAGACUUGUACACUAUUAUUAUUGACUUCCAAGUCAUUAUUACUUGGUAGAUUAGGUUUAAUUUUAUUUUAGAGGAUUAAAUGUAAAAAGUUAUGUAUGUUAUUUACUCUUGAUAUAUGUAGCAUUUAUUAGACAAUUCAUUAUUAGUGGAUUGCACAAUAAGUUAUUUUAUUCUUUGUGUAUGUCUUUAGGAAGCAAUGUUGUGGCUGUAAGGCCACACACUGCGUGUUGGGUUGUGUCGGUGGCGCAGGUGUGCCGGGAUACACAUGUGUGACAGUAUACACUAGGAGUGAUCAUUCGGUUAUAAUCGAAUUGAAUAAGCUAUUCGGUUAUAACCGAAAAUCGACUUAGUGACAAUUUUACUAUCCGAAAUAAUAACAAAAAUUUAAAAAUAACCGAAUUACCGAAUUUCGAAUUGGAAUUUCAGUAAUUCGGGUAAAAACCGAAUCAGCAUCAAUACACACGAGUACACGACUACCAACCAUCUCUGUUUUACCGACCAAGAAAUUACUCAAACCCAUAAUUGAAUCUUCUUCUUCAAAGCGUAGACUCUGUAAACAAGCAUGCUUUUCCUCUUUACACGAUUCCCCGGACGUAAGAAAACCUGAUAACUCGUGGAUAUUAAUUCCUAAAGCCAUGCAUUCACCAAGGAAAUGAAAUGUGGGCAGUAAGUGGCGCCAUUUUGAUCUACACUGUAUUAAUAGUAUGGCUUUUGGAGCGGCGUCCAGAGUUUCAAGGCCCCUGGCAGGAUCAACUAAGCAUCGCGCUUUGGUUCACCUUCUCUUCCAUUUUCUUUGCUCAGAGUAAGUCGCAAUUUAAAGCAGAUAUAUAUAUAUAUAUAUAUAUAUAUAUACUACUAAGGGGUAAAUUUUUUUCGAACUGAAUGACACCUUCAACUCUUCAAGAGGCACAAUUUCUUCCCCGAUGAGAGAAGCGGAGAUCUGGGACAUGGUGGCCAAGGCUCUUGAUUUGAGAUCUGGAACUUGGAAGCGGCGGCUAGGGCAAAAAAUGACUGAAUCAGAAUAAGAUAAUAAUAAUAGUACAAAAUUAUUAUUUUUUAAAUAUUAAUAUUCGGUUAUUCGGGUACUCGAAUUAUCUGUUUUUUAAAACCAAAAUCGAAAUCGAAUAAUGAACAAUAAAUCGGAUAUAACCGAAAUAAGAAAAAAAACUGAAAAAUCGAAAUAAUUCGAUUAAAAAAGUUCGAUUCAGUUCGAUAUCCGUUUUUUACUCACUCCUAAUAUACACCCAAUUUAUGUAAAUAUGAAUAGAAAAGAAGCCAAGAAGGGAAAGAAAGAAAUGAAACAAAUAGGGUGGGAGAAAAAGUACCUUACUUGAAUGUUGCAGUACUGUUGGUGGUCGUCGGACCAGCUGUUGUGAUGUCUCUCUCUUAGUCAAUGUUUGUGGUAGACUUGAAAGUUUGUGGCACAACUCGCGAGAAAGGAGAUAACAAAGAUAUGAUUUUAUUGGCGGAUGAAUGUAGUGGGCGGGUCCAGUCCACUAUCUGUUUGAAUUAAUGACCAAAUGUUGGGUUAAGAAACUUUGUACUUAGUAUUCUUGUUGUAAAAUUGGGCAAACCAUUGGCUUAGUAAUAUAUUAAAUCUAAAAGAUUGGGC